CCUAUAUUACCGGUAUUGUUGUCAAUGGAUUUUUACCAUUAAUAAGUUUUUAAAAAAAUUACAAUACAGUGUAAGCACUAAAAUAGACAUAUGAGCAAGAUACUAUAUGACCCAAAGAAAGGCAAAAAUGAUCUCUUCUGUAAAGUUUCCCAUCCACCAUACCUUUUUUUUUUCCAGAAAUGGGACACUGUAUCUCAAGUGUUCAUAACAUAGAUACCCAGAGACACAGACUAAAAAACUACUUGGGCAAUUUAUGACACCUUUGGAACGCUGGUUAAGUUGCAGACAUUAGAACCCAAAUUAUGAAGUGCUCGGAUUGAUUGGCGAUUCCUGCCAGGAGCCUUCUAUGGUGUCAGCGUUGUGAGCCUCAUCCAAUAGGUGAGGGAACAGGAAAAGGAACAAUUAGUGUCUUGUCCGUAAUAACUCAAUAGUCCGUGGCAGGAGCAGAAAUUUCAAUCCAAAGGACCCACUGGGAUUGAGCCUGUGUUCAAAUCAAGAGUAAGAUGACAACAGAUGCUGGUUUAGAAGGCUCUCCCAUCUUCAGGAAACACAAGGAAAUAUGGCUUGCCCCACCCAUUAGACUUCUUUACAGGGCAAUGGAGUUCAUGCCUAUAAGGUAACCAGGGCAUUUUGGUCUUUCAUCCACAGCAAAGCCACAGAAAGAGGCAGGUUUCCAGGAACAUUCUGAGCCUGAUUCUCCAAGCGCACUCUUCUGCUGCACAUCAAACAUAAACUCAGCCACCACACAGUGUGAACCGCUAGCCUUAGAGGGUCCCUUUAUGUAACAGAGUGGCUGUCCUUACCUCAAGCUAGAAGAAGAUCCAGUGAUUUGAAUAAAUCUCCUAGCAUCGCUUCCCUGAUAAAGAAAAAAGUCCAUUCUAUUCCCCACUUAGCAUCACAAGUAAAAAGUCUCCAGAAGCGUCUGUGCCUGUGACAUUUAAAUUCAUGGAUGAAGCUGAAGCUCCUGUCACCCUCAUUUAUUCCCAACAGAUGCCAUUUUUGAGAGUGGACGCUGGUCUGGGAGGGUUCAUCGAGCUCCACAUUCAUGACGUGCGCAGGUUUCUGGUACGUGUCACAUUUCAGCUUUGGGCCCAAGUCAAAAUACAUGCACAAGUAAAGCAAAUGAUCACUUAAAUAGACUAAGCUUCUUGAAAUAGAACUGAGGGUUAUCACCAAUUUAGUAAAAACACACAACAAAAUCUCAUUUGAAGGAAGCCAGUUGUUAAAUUUUGGAGGGAUGAAUUAAAAGCAAAAUUUUAUU
Molecule: long non-coding RNA, 1261 nt
Filed under: Felis catus (domestic cat)
Lineage: Eukaryota; Metazoa; Chordata; Mammalia; Carnivora; Felidae
Description: lncRNA (ENSFCAG00000049957.1)
Source: RNAcentral